RNAcentral lists this ribosomal RNA (255 nucleotides) under uncultured bacterium. RNAcentral describes it as "partial 16S ribosomal RNA". It matches the Rfam family "Bacterial small subunit ribosomal RNA", at positions 524 to 776 of the family's 1533-position model. The record is from RNAcentral.
UACGUAGGCAGCAAGCGUUGUUCGGAAUUACUGGGCGUAAAGAGUGUGUAGGCGGUGUUCCAAGUCUGGUGUGAAAUCUCCCGGCUUAACUGGGAGGGUGCAUUAGAAACUGGAAUGCUAGAGUGUGGUAGGGGAGAUCGGAAUUCCUGGUGUAGCGGUGAAAUGCGCAGAUAUCGGGAGGAACACCGGUGGCGAAGGCGGUUCUCUGGGCCUUACCUGGACGUCUGAGGAGCGAAAGCGUGGGGAGCGAACAGG